This 116-nucleotide small nuclear RNA is filed under the name Salmo trutta (river trout). Its description in RNAcentral is "U5 spliceosomal RNA (ENSSTUG00000031653.1)". It matches the Rfam family "U5 spliceosomal RNA". From Rfam's summary of the family: U5 RNA is a component of both types of known spliceosome. The precise function of this molecule is unknown, though it is known that the 5' loop is required for splice site selection and p220 binding, and that both the 3' stem-loop and the Sm site are important for Sm protein binding and cap methylation. Lineage: Eukaryota; Metazoa; Chordata; Actinopteri; Salmoniformes; Salmonidae. The record is from Rfam by way of RNAcentral.
CGACUCUGGUUCUCUGCAUUACGCACAAGCCUUUCGCCUUUUACUAAAGACUUCCGUGGAGAGGAACACUUACGAGUUCAACAUAUUUUUGGAAGGGCUUUGCUUCUGGCAGAGCC